CUUUGUCUCCCGAAAAAUGGUUUUCGAGUCACCUUGGCGUGAUAAGGAAUUAAAAGGGAAUCCUGUGAAAGUCAGGAACUAUCCCCGUAGCUGUAAGCUUUGGCUCCUUUGCAGGAGAGGUGUUGCGACACUCUAUAAGCCACUGGUUCGAUGACGGACCGGGAAGGCGUCGUAACAGAAGCAAGUCAGAAGACCUGCCGUUUUUACAUCAUUCAU
This 216-nucleotide non-coding RNA is filed under the name Bacteroides uniformis. The record is from RNAcentral. Lineage: Bacteria; Pseudomonadati; Bacteroidota; Bacteroidia; Bacteroidales; Bacteroidaceae.